Strigops habroptila (Kakapo) is the source of this 2719-nucleotide long non-coding RNA. NCBI's taxonomy places the organism in Eukaryota, Metazoa, Chordata, Aves, Psittaciformes, Psittacidae. The record is from Ensembl.
UCACACAAUGUUGGUAUUUUUAUUAAAGAAAAUUCAAACUCUUGAUUCCAGCUUUCAGUAUUCAAAAUCAGGAGCAAAGAACAGAAUCAUACAUAACCAAGAACAAUGUUUUUUCACAAAACAAUGGUCUGAUCUUUCCACUACUGACCCCUGUAUAAAGAAUCUCUCUCCAUUUACAGUCCCAAGGUGACUGCUACUCCUACUCUCCUUUGAAACUCUGUUCUUCUAGCUACCCUCUCACACCAUCUGGGUGGUUAAGAGUCUCCAGAACAGAGAGACCAUCUUCAAAACUGAAAAUAAGUUCCAAAUACCUUGGAUUUUUUUCUCAUUUCCAUAAUACAUUUCUCAUUUGGAAAAUAAACUAUGAACUUUCUCCAUCUGCCCACAGAGGAAAUAAGAAUACAAUCCAUAAUUAGCCAAAAUGGUAGUUUAUCUAUAGGCUACUUAUACCUUCCUUAAGCACAUCUGGAAUUUAGCUUCCCAACUUUUAAAGCCUUGGCCUUUAUGAAGAAACAAUUAACAUUUUCAUUAAGGCAUGGAUAUUCUAAAUUUCUGUUGUUAACAUUAUAUCUUGGUAAGAGUGGCCUUCCUUCCGGUUGGUCCACAGAAAAAGUUAUGAGCACAUAAGCACAGGCAAGAAGGCAUUUUCUAAUAAGCUGUUGAAGACCAGUUUUUUUGUGUAUGAACAGAGAUUGCUUCUAUAUUAAAGAGGCAAGAACACCACCUUCAAAAUUGUAAUUGUAUUCAAUUUCCCCCUUUUAAACCAAACGUACAUAUUAUUCACGGAAUCUGCAAUAUCAUCAUUAGAUUUUGAUUUUCUGUAACUUACCCUUCAUUCUAGUAUAAGUAGGAGUAAGUGUUAGAUGGGAUUUCACAUCUUCUUAAAGAAAAAGACGCCCCAAACUAUAAAUGUUUGUUUGAUUAAAACAGCCAUAAAAUUUCCUUAGAUAUUAGAUAUGACAGCUACAAACCGAGAAUAUUCUUACAUGGCUUAUUCCAUUCUUUGGAAGACACACACACUCAAAAGACAGUUUGUUACAGGGCAUGGUAGAUAAAAAUUUAGUUACCCUGCAAGGUACGUCUGCUGUGUGUCUCUAUCUGGUCCUUCAGAGAUAAUCAAUACAACCAGCAUCCCAGGAUUUCAAAACCCAUUUUAAAACCAGCAAAAUUAAGUUAGUGGAGCAGAAUGGAGAAUCUCAGUUGGAAAGAGCUGUUAUCACUUUGUCUUAUUAAGAAUAUCCAACAGCAGUGCAGGCACUAUUUUAGUAAGUCUGUUUUAUAAGCAGAAGGACUAAUAGCUGUACACAAAAUCCUCACAACUGGCAGAGGAAAAUCCCUUAUUUUGUAAAUAAACCUCCCUGCUCCCUUGUACACAAUAUGUUGAUGCUUCUGUAUCAAGUUCAGAAUGUAAUCAAGUCCAGAAUAACUGGUACUUGCCUAUAAUCAGCUAUCUGGACUUCUGCUAACAUUUUUGUUUCAAACUUUAGGUCCAGUAUGUGGUAUUUCAUAGCACUUCUUACUCAUCAAACCUGUGCCCACUUAAAAUGGACAGAUCAUACUGCAGAAGCUUUGAGAAAGAACUCUGUAAGAACUGAAGAUUAAGAGUUCAUUGUUACCAUGAUUAUUUUAUGGAGAACCUAAUUGAUUUGGAUUCUUCCUUUUAGUCUUUCAGACAGGGGAAGGGGACUGUCUGCCCAUGCAUAAGACAGAACAGCACCUUUGGCUUGCUGUGUGGGACCAGAACUUGACCUCUCAAAUGGUUGCUCUGGACUUUGGAAACAAUUAACAUCCCUUACAGAGGAUGGUUUUGGAGGUACCUGCAAUGAGAAACUAUUACCGUCUUUUUUUGAAGUAGUUGGUUUCUUCUUCCCUUCAAUUAUAAGGGCUGAGUCACUGUUUGUUCUUUUUCCAGAAAUGUUGUUACUCCUUUUCUUUGUAUAACAGUUUUUAAACUGACCAUGGCUCAGUUGCCUUUUCUGCUGCUCAUAAAUCUGAUUUUUAUUGAUGUUCUCAUCAUCACUGUCUUCACUAGAAGAACACCUGUUCUGACACACACUCUUCUUAAAAGAAGUUUUCCAAGAAGUUUGAAUACAAGCUUUUUCAAUGUGACAGCCAGUUAAAACAUCUGCUGGCUUUUGAGAUACUUGAAGCAUUUCACACCCAGGAUGAAGUAUCUCUGUUGUUCGCCCACUGAGGCCUAGAGAUGCUGAACUGCUUAUAUUAUGGCCUUUUUGCACCACUCCAGCCAGGCUGUCAGCCUUUUUGUACUGAUCUUGAUAAAUGCGUACACUGGAAUCCCUUGUGUGGUUUUCUGAUAGCACAUUUUUACUUUCCUGCACUACUUUAUUUAACUGACAUGAGGAGGAGAUGAAAACUUCAUCAAGAUUCAAUGUUUGUUCUGUUUGUUUAAAACAUUUCAAAGGCUCCAGUUGCAUUACAUCUGCAGACAACAAAGGCUUUGAUGGCAUGGAAGUCUUCUUAAGUAUUCGCUCAGUUAAAGACCACUUCUGAAGUUGUCCCAUAGCAUCAUCUGAAAUGAAAUCAUCUGCGCUAUCCAGAUGAUGCCGAUCAGACUGCAUAGCAUCAGAAUAUUCUGACCUAUUUCUCACUGUUUCAUGAGCCAGUGGAUGCGAGUAUUUUAUGCGUGUACUUAAGUCACUUGCUGGGUCAUGGGUAUCACCCCCAUGAGCUGGUGAAGUGUUGAAGAAGGUUCCUUCCC